UUGGAGGGCAAGUCUGGUGCCAGCAGCCGCGGUAAUUCCAGCUCCAAUAGCGUAUAUUAAAGUUGUUGCAGUUAAAAAGCUCGUAGUUGAAUUUCGGGAUCAGAUUGUCGGUCGUGCCUCGGUACGCACUGGCAUUAUUGGUUCCUACCUUCUGAAGAACCGCGAUGUCAUUAAUUUGGUGUCGUGGGGAAUCAGGACUGUUACUUUGAAAAAAUUAGAGUGUUUAAAGCAGGCUUACGCUUGAAUACAUUAGCAUGGAAUAAUGAAAUAGGACGUUUGAUUCUAUUUUGUUGGUUUCUAGGAUUGACGUAAUGAUUAAUAGGGAUAGUUGGGGGCAUUAGUAUUCAAUUGUCAGAGGUGAAAUUCUUGGAUUUAUUGAAGACUAACUACUGCGAAAGCAUUUGCCAAGGAUGUUUUCAUUAAUCAAGAACGAAAGUUAGGGGAUCGAAGACGAUCAGAUACCGUCGUAGUCUUAACCAUAAACUAUGCCGACUAGGGAUCGGAUGAUGUUAAUUUUUUAAUGACUCAUUCGGCGCCUUACGGGAAACCAAAGUGUUUGGGUUC
Molecule: ribosomal RNA, 564 nt
Filed under: uncultured Glomeromycotina
Lineage: Eukaryota; Fungi; Glomeromycota
Description: SSU rRNA
Rfam family: Eukaryotic small subunit ribosomal RNA
Source: RNAcentral